Molecule: ribosomal RNA, 172 nt
Filed under: uncultured Bacteroidota bacterium
Lineage: Bacteria; Pseudomonadati; Bacteroidota
Description: uncultured Bacteroidetes bacterium partial 16S ribosomal RNA
Rfam family: Bacterial small subunit ribosomal RNA
Source: RNAcentral
ACUCCUACGGGAGGCAGCAGUGAGGAAUAUUGGACAAUGGUCGGAAGACUGAUCCAGCCAUGCCGCGUGCAGGAUGACGGCCCUAUGGGUUGUAAACUGCUUUUAUACGGGAAGAAACCCGCCUACGUGUAGGCGGCUGACUGUACCGUAAGAAUAAGGACCGGCUAACUCC